CAAUAGCGUAUAUUUAAGUUGUUGCAGUUAAAAAGCUCGUAGUUGGAUUUCGGAUGGGAUUUGCCGGUCCGUCGUUACGAUGUGCACUGGCCAGUCCUAUCUUGUUGUCGGGGACUAGCUCCUUGGAUUCACUUCCUGGGACUAGGAGCUGACGAGGUUACUUUGAGUAAAUUAGAGUGUUCAAAGCAAGCCUACGCUCUGAAUACAUUAGCAUGGAAUAACACGAUAGGACUCUGGCUUAUCUUGUUGGUCUGUGAGACCAGAGUAAUGAUUAAGAGGGACAGUCGGGGACAUUCGUAUUUCAUUGUCAGAGGUGAAGUUCUUGGAUUUAUGAAAGACGAACUUCUGCGAAAGCAUUUGUCAAGGAUGUUUUCAUUAA
This 379-nucleotide ribosomal RNA is filed under the name uncultured eukaryote. Its description in RNAcentral is "partial 18S ribosomal RNA". It matches the Rfam family "Eukaryotic small subunit ribosomal RNA", at positions 592 to 976 of the family's 1831-position model. The record is from RNAcentral.